Molecule: non-coding RNA, 127 nt
Organism: Triticum aestivum (bread wheat)
Lineage: Eukaryota; Viridiplantae; Streptophyta; Magnoliopsida; Poales; Poaceae
Source: Rfam
AUUGUACUCCCUCCGUUCCAUAAUGCAUGACUUCCAUUUGUCAAAAUAUAAAUGUAUCUAGACAUGUUUUAGUAUGUAGAUACAUCCAUUUUUGAAGUCAAGUAUUUUGGAACGGAGGGAGUAGUAG